RNAcentral lists this ribosomal RNA (51 nucleotides) under Echinococcus canadensis. RNAcentral's name for it is "partial 5.8S ribosomal RNA". Lineage: Eukaryota; Metazoa; Platyhelminthes; Cestoda; Cyclophyllidea; Taeniidae. The record is from RNAcentral.
AACUGUGUGCGGUGGAUCACUUGGCUGGUGCGUCGAUGAGGAGUACAGCCA